CCUACGGGUGGCUGCAGUGAGGAAUAUUGGUCAAUGGACGCGAGCCUGAACCAGCCAAGUAGCGUGAAGGAUGACUGCCCUACGGGUUGUAAACUUCUUUUAUAAAGGAAUAAAGUGAGGCACGUGUGCCUUUUUGUAUGUACUUUAUGAAUAAGGAUCGGCUAACUCCGUGCCAGCAGCCGCGGUAAUACGGAGGAUCCGAGCGUUAUCCGGAUUUAUUGGGUUUAAAGGGAGCGUAGAUGGGUUGUUAAGUCAGUCGUUAAAGUCUGCGGCUCAACCGUAUAAUUGCCAUUGAUACUGGUGGUCUUGAGUGCAGGUGAGGUAGGCGGAAUGCGUGGUGUAGCGGUGAAAUGCGUAGAUAUCACGAAGAACUCCGAUUGCGAAGGCAGCUUACUGACCUGCCACUGACGUUGAUGCUCGAAAGUGUGGGGAGCAAACAGGAUUAGAUACCCGUGUAGUC
RNAcentral lists this ribosomal RNA (460 nucleotides) under uncultured bacterium. RNAcentral describes it as "partial 16S ribosomal RNA". It matches the Rfam family "Bacterial small subunit ribosomal RNA", at positions 338 to 795 of the family's 1533-position model. The record is from RNAcentral.